CAAACCACAGGCACAGAAACGGGGGGAUACUAAGAGACAUAGAGAAGACAUGGGCUAUGGAAAAGGCCACACUAAACCUAAAAAGAGUUGUGUGUUACAUUGAGGUGGACGCAAGAAGAAGGACAAGGCCAAAGGCAAAAAGAAACCAUGAAUGUUGACGCCAUCUUCCAGUGCUCCACCCCUGUCUGCCAAACAAAUACUAUGGUAUACAUUAACAUUAUACUGUACUUACAAAUAUCUAUAUCAGCCAUGCAUGUUUUUCCUACUUUUUUCAAAGGAUUACCUAACGAACCUAGGUGAUGCUUGUUUUUCAAAAUGGAGACUUCCUUAUUAACCCCCUAUAGUGGGGUCUUUGUAUGAUUUACUACAUCAAUAACAGGAUUUGACAAUUAUAUGACAGGAACUGCUUUGCAACCAACCCCAGAAAGUAUGGAUGAUGAUGAUGAUGAUGGGAUAAUUUGCAUGUUACAAUUUCAUCAUGGACAUUCAAUAUAUUGGACACAAUUUCAUUGAAAUAUUAUACAUUAUUUGACAAAAAUCAACAACAAUUUGAUACUGAGACAAAUGUUUACAGUAUGUCUACAUGUUAUGUUUACUUGUUGAUACAGACUCUGGUUUCAUUUGGCAAAUAGAGGGCCCCUCAUUUAAUUUCAUUUGCCUACAGCCAAGCAUUGUUGUAAUGACUGUAAUGAAUAUUGGUUCAUGAUCAGUUAUCCAUUAAAUGUAAAAGGUAACAGCAUAGAUAGACCAUAAUAAUAAACUGUUUUUCCAGAAACAA
Molecule: long non-coding RNA, 778 nt
Organism: Oncorhynchus gorbuscha (pink salmon)
Lineage: Eukaryota; Metazoa; Chordata; Actinopteri; Salmoniformes; Salmonidae
Exons: 3
Source: RefSeq, a predicted model, not a curated record